Molecule: ribosomal RNA, 496 nt
Filed under: uncultured bacterium
Lineage: Bacteria
Description: partial 16S ribosomal RNA
Rfam family: Bacterial small subunit ribosomal RNA
Source: RNAcentral
GAUGAACGCUGGCGGCGUGCCUAAUACAUGCAAGUCGAGCGAACAGACGAGGAGCUUGCUCCUCUGACGUUAGCGGCGGACGGGUGAGUAACACGUGGAUAACCUACCUAUAAGACUGGGAUAACUUCGGGAAACCGGAGCUAAUACCGGAUAAUAUAUUGAACCGCAUGGUUCAAUAGUGAAAUACGGUUUUGCUGUCACUUAUAGAUGGAUCCGCGCCGCAUUAGCUAGUUGGUAAGGUAACGGCUUACCAAGGCAACGAUGCGUAGCCGACCUGAGAGGGUGAUCGGCCACACUGGAACUGAGACACGGUCCAGACUCCUACGGGAGGCAGCAGUAGGGACUCUUCCGCAAUGGGCGAAAGCCUGACGGAGCAACGCCGCGUGAGUGAUGAAGGUCUUCGGAUCGUAAAACUCUGUUAUUAGGGAAGAACAAAUGUGUAAGUAACUAUGCACGUCUUGACGGUACCUACUCAGAAAGCCACGGCUAACUACGU